RNAcentral lists this long non-coding RNA (427 nucleotides) under Cyanistes caeruleus (blue tit). Its description in RNAcentral is "lncRNA (ENSCCEG00000011737.1)". Lineage: Eukaryota; Metazoa; Chordata; Aves; Passeriformes; Paridae. The record is from RNAcentral.
ACAACACAAGGCACACGGAUGCACUGCAACAUUCAACAUCUUGUUGUAAAAGGUCCUGAGGCUGUGAGCAGAAAAACACAGGAAGAGUGGAGCCUGAUGGAAAGGUCAGCCCAAGAAGAGGAAUGGUAAAGAAGUUUUCCUGGGUAAAAAGAAGGAAAAGAUGAAGUGGAAAGAAUGUUGAAAGGCUGCAUCAGGACUGCACUGAAGAAAAGAGCAAAGCAUUCUGUAAUUAUAGUGUAUUUUCUAAAAGGAGAAAUAAGAGUUUCAACAAGAAAUGAGAGGAGAUUUGAAGAAGUCUCCCUGUUUCACUAGUCAGUAGCCUGGAUGUAUGCUGAGUAGUUUCCAAACGCUGAAGAAGAAUGGAGCCACACGUCAAGAUCUCAAACUCUGAGAGAAGAUGACAAUAUGGUUAAGAGAACAAUAUGCA